CCAGAGGGUCGGGCAGCCGCGGGUCAUGCAAAUGGCGCGAGGAAAGUCCGGGCUCCACGAAACAGGGAUGCCGGGUAACGCCCGGCGGGGGAGACCCCAGGGACAGUGCAACAGAAAGCAGGUUGCCACAGGCUUCGGCCCGGUAACAUUGAAAGGGUGCGGUAAGAGCGCACCGCGCGGCCGGCAACGGUUCGCGGCACGGUAAACCCCAUCCGGAGCAAGACCGAAUAGGGGCGGAUUUGGCGAUACGGUUUCCGCUUGCGGAGGCGCGUCCCAGGGGAGUUUCGGCCCCUUGCCGCCCGGGUUGGUUGCUUGAGCGGUGCAGCAAUGCCCCGCCUAGAGGAAUGGCUGCCCAUGACCGGCAACGGUCAGGACAGAACCCGGCUUACAGACCCUCUGGCGAU
Molecule: RNase P RNA, 404 nt
Filed under: Blastomonas ursincola
Lineage: Bacteria; Pseudomonadati; Pseudomonadota; Alphaproteobacteria; Sphingomonadales; Blastomonadaceae
Description: RNase P RNA component class A
Rfam family: Bacterial RNase P class A
About the family: Ribonuclease P (RNase P) is a ubiquitous endoribonuclease, found in archaea, bacteria and eukarya as well as chloroplasts and mitochondria. Its best characterised activity is the generation of mature 5'-ends of tRNAs by cleaving the 5'-leader elements of precursor-tRNAs. Cellular RNase Ps are ribonucleoproteins.
Source: RNAcentral